UGCCAGACUCCUACGGGAGGCAGCAGUGAGGAAUAUUGGUCAAUGGUCGGGAGACUGAACCAGCCAAGCCGCGUGAGGGAUGAAGGUACAGAGUAUCGUAAACCUCUUUUGUCAGGGAACAAAGGCGGGGACGCGUCCCCGGAUGAGUGUACCUGAAGAAAAAGCAUCGGCUAACUCCGUGCCAGCAGCCGCGGUAAUACGGAGGAUGCGAGCGUUAUCCGGAUUUAUUGGGUUUAAAGGGUGCGUAGGCGGAAGGCAAGGUCAGGGGUAAAAUCGCGGGGCUCAACCUCGCUCCGCCGUUGAAACUGGCGGUCUUGAGUGGGCGAGAAGUAUGCGGAAUGCGCGGUGUAGCGGUGAAAUGCAUAGAUAUCACGCAGAACUCCGAUUGCGAAGGCAGCAUACCGGCGCCCAACUGACGCUGAAGCACGAAAGUGCGGGGAUCGAACAGGAUUAGAUACCCCGGUAAUC
RNAcentral lists this ribosomal RNA (468 nucleotides) under uncultured bacterium. RNAcentral describes it as "bacterial SSU rRNA". It matches the Rfam family "Bacterial small subunit ribosomal RNA", at positions 329 to 795 of the family's 1533-position model. The record is from RNAcentral.